This 770-nucleotide unclassified non-coding RNA is filed under the name Hevea brasiliensis (rubber tree). The record is from RNAcentral. Lineage: Eukaryota; Viridiplantae; Streptophyta; Magnoliopsida; Malpighiales; Euphorbiaceae.
CCAAAGUUCUAUCUCACUCAUAAGUGCCUAUUUCCUUAAUUACCUUAAAUCUCGAUUCUUUUUUCGCGGGUUCUGAAGAAUUUGAGGAACCGUUGCAUACUGUAUUGUUUUUGGGCAUUUCUUUUGCACCUAUGGAGUCUUCAAUGAAAAUUGGGUCGUCGAUUGUUUUGCCCAUUUCUUCAUAUUCAGUUAAACUUAAUCAACACAAGCAAUAUAAGGUUGAUUAUGGGUUUCGAUUCAGUGGAAGACGGUCCAUAAGUAAAAUUUGCGUCAUCAUCCCUAAUGGCUCUGUUUCUUCCUCUUCUUCUCAUGAGGCAGAAUCGAGGGCAGUGGGAAAUGCACAUAGACAAAGAAGCAGCCUUGAAUCUCUUUUUUGUUAUGAUAAGCCUAUACCAGAGGAGAGAAUUGAGAAGCCGGUUGGUACAUCUUUAGCUAAAAAAUCAAUUGGAGAUAAUCCUCGAUGCAUUGAUUGUGAGGCCAAAGGUGCAGUUCUUUGCACCACUUGUUCAGGUUCAGGGUUAUAUGUUGACUCCAUAUUGGAGAGCCAGGGUAUCAUUGUGAAAGUCCGCUGUUUAGGUUGUGGAGGAACGGGUAACAUUCUGAGCACANCAGAAUGUGGUGGGCGUGGUCAUCUUGGACCUCAAUGACCUGCAUGGUUUGCUUUUCCUCGCAGGAUUUUGUUGUGGCCUUGUUUGCUCCAACAUUUUCAUAUUAAAGGUCUCAUUUGUUAUAGUUAUGUAUUCUUGAGGUAUUUUAUGGUUCCAUCUUUG